AGCUCCGUGGUGAAGAAACAUGUUGGAUUGCAAAUCCAGAGACGUAGAUUAAUAGUCUGCCGGGGCUU
RNAcentral lists this transfer RNA (68 nucleotides) under Distoechodon tumirostris. RNAcentral's name for it is "tRNA-Cys". It matches the Rfam family "tRNA". From Rfam's summary of the family: Transfer RNA (tRNA) molecules are approximately 80 nucleotides in length. Their secondary structure includes four short double-helical elements and three loops (D, anti-codon, and T loops). Further hydrogen bonds mediate the characteristic L-shaped molecular structure. tRNAs have two regions of fundamental functional importance: the anti-codon, which is responsible for specific mRNA codon recognition, and the 3' end, to which the tRNAs corresponding amino acid is attached (by aminoacyl-tRNA synthetases). tRNAs cope with the degeneracy of the genetic code in two manners: having more than one tRNA (with a specific anti-codon) for a particular amino acid; and 'wobble' base-pairing, i.e. permitting non-standard base-pairing at the 3rd anti-codon position. RNAcentral also lists the same sequence under 9 other names. The record is from RNAcentral. Lineage: Eukaryota; Metazoa; Chordata; Actinopteri; Cypriniformes; Xenocyprididae.